This 914-nucleotide ribosomal RNA is filed under the name uncultured archaeon. RNAcentral describes it as "bacterial SSU rRNA". It matches the Rfam family "Archaeal small subunit ribosomal RNA", at positions 1 to 922 of the family's 1478-position model. The record is from RNAcentral.
AUUUUCCGGUUGAUCCUGCCGGACCCGACUGCUAUCGGAUUGAGACUAAGCCAUGCGAGUCAACCCGCAAGGGUGGCGGACGGCUCAGUAACACGUAGUCAACCUGCCCUGAGGACGUGGAUAUCCACGGGAAACUGUGGUUAAACCGCGAUAGGUCAUCGCUUCUGGAACGGGCGAUGGCUCAAAUCUACAUGGCCUCAGGAUGGGACUGCGGCCGAUCAGGUUGUUGGCGGGGUAAUGGCCCACCAAGCCUAUAACCGGUACGGGCUCUGAGAGGAGGAGCCCGGAGAUGGGCACUGAGACAAGGGCCCAGGUCCUAUGGGGCGCAGCAGGCGCGAAACCUUCGCAAUAGGCGAAAGCCUGACGAGGUUAAUCCGAGUGGUUCCUGCUAAAGGAACCUUUUGCCAGCUGUAAAAAGGCUGGUGAAUAAGGGGUGGGCAAGCCUGGUGUCAGCCGCCGCGGUAAUACCAGCACCCCGAGUGGUCGGGAUGAUUAUUGGGCCUAAAGCAUCCGUAGCCGGUUCUGCAAGUCUCCCGUUAAAUCCACCUGCUCAACAGUUGGGCUGCGGGAGAUACUGUAGGACUAGGAGGCGGGAGAGGCGAGGGGUAUUCCUUGGGUAGGGGUAAAAUCCUUUGAUCCAUGGAGGACCACCAGUGGCGAAGGCGCCUCGCCAGAACGCGCUCGACGGUGAGGGAUGAAAGCUGGGGGAGCAAACCGGAUUAGAUACCCGGGUAGUCCCAGCUGUAAACGAUGCAGGCUCGGUGAUGGACUGGCCUCGAGCCAGUCCAGUGCCGCAGGGAAGCCGUUAAGCCUGCCGCCUGGGGAGUACGGUCGCAAGACUGAAACUUAAAGGAAUUUGGCGGGGGAGCACCACAAGGGGUGAAGCCUGCGGUUCAAUUGGAUUCAACGCCGGA